ACCGGCAAACGGGUGCGGAACACGUACGCAACUUACCCAAAACUGGGGAAUAGCCCGGGGAAACCCGGAUUAAUACCUCGUAACAUAAUUGAGUGGCAUCACUUGAUUAUUAUAGCUCCGGCGGUUUUGGAUGGGCGUGCGCCUGAUUAGGUAGUUGGCGGGGUAACGGCCCACCAAGCCUACGAUCAGUAACUGGUGUGAGAGCACGACCAGUCACACGGGCACUGAGACACGGGCCCGACUCCUACGGGAGGCAGCAGUAAGGAAUAUUGGUCAAUGGACGCAAGUCUGAACCAGCCAUGCCGCGUGAAGGAUGAAGGUCCUCUGGAUUGUAAACUUCUUUUAUAUGGGAAGAAAUCCAUCUUUUCUUGGGUGGUUGACGGUACCAUAGGAAUAAGCACCGGCUAACUCCGUGCCAGCAGCCGCGGUAAUACGGAGGGUGCAAGCGUUAUCCGGAUUCACUGGGUUUAAAGGGUGCGUAGGAGGGCAGGUAAGUCAGUGGUGAAAUCUCCAAGCUUAACUUGGAAACUGCCGUUGAUACUAUCUGUCUUGAAUACCGUGGAGGUGAGCGGAAUAUGUCAUGUAGCGGUGAAAUGCUUAGAUAUGACAUAGAACACCAAUUGCGAAGGCAGCUCGCUACACGAAUAUUGACUCUGAGGCACGAAAGCGUGGGGAUCAAACAGGAUUAGAUACCCUGGUAGUCCACGCCCU
This 711-nucleotide ribosomal RNA is filed under the name uncultured Flavisolibacter sp. RNAcentral's name for it is "bacterial SSU rRNA". It matches the Rfam family "Bacterial small subunit ribosomal RNA", at positions 94 to 803 of the family's 1533-position model. Lineage: Bacteria; Pseudomonadati; Bacteroidota; Chitinophagia; Chitinophagales; Chitinophagaceae. The record is from RNAcentral.